Molecule: unclassified non-coding RNA, 192 nt
Filed under: soil metagenome
Description: partial contains 5.8S ribosomal RNA, internal transcribed spacer 2, and large subunit ribosomal RNA
Source: RNAcentral
AACUGAUACUACCUGCGGGAACCUGCGGAAGGAUCAUUACUGAGUUCUACAACUCCCACCCUAUGUGAACUUACUACAGUUGCCUCGGCGAGGUGCUAUACGCCUCGCCGGUGGACCAUUAAACUCUGAUUUAUUUACUGUAUCUCUGAAUUUAAUAACGAAAUACGUUAAAACUUUUAACAACGGAUCUCU